GGUGAAAGGCCAAGCAAACUCGGUGAUAGCUGGUUCUCCCCGAAAUGCAUUUAGGUGCAGCGUCGGACGUUCAGCAUCGGAGGUAGAGCACUGGAUGGGCUAGGGGGCCUACAAGCUUACUGACCCCAACUAAACUCCGAAUGCCGAUGCUCAAGAACCCGGCAGUGAGACCACGAGGGAUGAGCUUCGUUGGUCGAAAGGGAAACAGCCCAGACCGCCGGCUAAGGCCCCAAAUUCUUGACUAAGUGGAAAACGAUGUGGGAACGCAAAGACAGCCAGGAGGUUGGCUUAGAAGCAGCCACCCUUAAAAGAGUGCGUAAUAGCUCACUGGUCGAGUGGUCCUGCGCGGAUAAUGUAACGGGGCUCAAGUCAAGAGCCGAAGCCGCGGAUUUCCGUCUUUGGACGGGAGUGGUAGGGGAGCGUCGAUCUCGCUGAGAAGCGGCGGUGUGAACCGUUGUGGAGCGUGGUCGAGUGCGAAUGCUGGUAUGAGUAGCGAGAGAGGAGUGAGAAACUCCUCCGCCGUAAGCCCAAGGGUUCCUGGGGAAGGCUAAUCCUCCCAGGGUAAGUCGGGAGCUAAGGCGAGGCCGAGAGGCGUAGUCGAUGCACAACUGGUUGAUAUUCCAGUACCACCGUGUCCGCGCCCAAUCCUAUUUGGACUGCUAAGGGGCUGCCUUCGGGCGAACCGACCCGUCCUUUGAUGGAUAGCAAUGGGGUGACGCAGGAAGGUAGCUCAACCCGGGCGUUGGUUGUCCCGGGGUAAGCAUGUAGGAGGUCCGAUAGGCAAAUCCGUCGGGCAUAACUCCGAGAUGCGAUGCCGAGCCGUUUUAGGCGAAGUGAGUGAUCCUACGCUGUCGAGAAAAACCUCUAGCGAGUUGACAUGGUGCCCGUACCCCAAACCGACGCAGGUGGGCAAGUAGAGAAUACUAAGGCGAUCGGGAUAACUCUGGUUAAGGAACUCGGCAAACUGCCCCCGUAACUUCGGAAGAAGGGGGGCCUCAGUAGGGUGACGGACUUCGCGUCCCGAGCUCGAGGAGGCCGCAGAGACCAGGGCCAAGCGACUGUUUACUAAAAACACAGGUGCGUGCUAAGUCGUAAGACGAUGUAUACGCACUGACGCCUGCCCGGUGCCGGAAGGUUACGGGGAAGGGUUAGCCCGCAAGGGCGAAGCUCUGAACCUAAGCCCCGGUAAACGGCGGCCGUAACUAUAACGGUCCUAAGGUAGCGAAAUUCCUUGUCGGGUAAGUUCCGACCUGCACGAAUGGCGUAACGACUUUCCUACUGUCUCAACCACAGACCCGGCGAAAUUGAAGUACGAGUAAAGAUGCUCGUUAGCUGCAGAAGGACGGAAAGACCCCGUGGACCUUUACUACAACUUGAUGUUGGGUUUUGGUAUGUGUUGUGUAGGAUAGGUGGGAGGCUAGGAAGCAUUGGCGCUAGCCAGUGUGGAGCCAUCGUUGAAAUACCACCCUGCUCAUGCCGGAACUCUAACCCUGGUCCGUGAUCCGGAUCGGGAACAGCGUCAGGCGGGUAGUUUGACUGGGGCGGUCGCCUCCUAAAGAGUAACGGAGGCGCCCAAAGGUUCCCUCAGGUUGGUUGGAAAUCAACCGUGGCGUGUAAAGGCGUAAGGGAGC
This 1631-nucleotide ribosomal RNA is filed under the name metagenome. RNAcentral's name for it is "bacterial LSU rRNA". It matches the Rfam family "Bacterial large subunit ribosomal RNA", at positions 819 to 2368 of the family's 2925-position model. The record is from RNAcentral.